UUACUGGUUUUAACUUCAGCUCCAUUAUCCCAAAUAUUUAUUUCAUGAACUCAUGCACUUAACAAAUAUUAAAUAUCUACCAAGAGCCGAGCUGAAAAAAUACUAUUACCUUGCUCAGGAGCUGGGAGAAAGGAAUUAGAAUGAAAACUAAAAACUGCUUCAGGAGUAACAGAGGAGGGAAGAGAGGGAAGAGCUCCUUGCAGUCAGAGAACAUCAGGGGAAUUUUGAGGAAGCCCCGAAGAAUGAGUUGAGUCUUGAAUGACAGAGACGAUCUACAAACAAAAAGGAGAUGGACAGGAGGAGAUCUCAGCUACUAACACUGAAUCUUGAGAGGAGCAGUUCCUUCCUCUGCUCUCAUCAAGACCAUCUUUGAAGAGCUUCAGAGAUACACCUGCUAAGAGAGACUGAUGGAAUUCUAUUCAAUUAUUUCCUUUGUCCACCCUUUUCUGCUUCCUUCCUCCUGAGAAGGGAGAAUCACUGACAUGGCAUUUGGAUAAAAAUGGGGAACAGGACAGGAGAAGGAGAAACAAAAACAGAUACAUAAGGAGAAAUCAAGAAAAAAACGACCAAGAAACAGAAAGAGUGAGGAAGAGAGCAAGAAAGAGGCUAGUAGAGAAAAGAUGGCAUGGCCAAGCCAAUCUAUAUUCAUGGACAAUCACAGAGGAGAGGAGAAAGCAGUUACAUGGGUGCUGACAAUUUGGGGGAUAACUUUUCCAUUUCUUCAUUGUGUUUUUUUGUUUCAAACACCAUGCAGAGCCUGAGACCAGUGGGCUCUUGGGAUUGAGCAGGGUAAUAGUAUCUUAAAUACAAACACAUGACUCUCUUCAGGCUGAACUGUGCUGAAUGGGCAGGUUGUAAGAGAUUUCUCUUGCAGCGGGUGGUCAAAAGUCUCCUGGAACAUCCCACAUGGAGAAAGUGACUUGGGCAAGACCACACAGCCAGAAAGCAGCAGAGUUGGGACCUCACCUUGGUCUGUGUGAUGCAGAAUUCUGUGUUUCCACCUCCUUAUACUUCCUGAAACGAUCGUAUCACUCAGGAAAAUAACAGUUGCCUCAUGCUUAGUUGGCCUGAAAACUACUGAUUUCAGUGGGCAGAGAGGGGAUGUCCUUGGAUUCAGUCCUCAGGACCAUGGUCCCUGCUGAACACAGAAAGCUUUAAUUCACAUAAAGCUCACACAGCAGAGCCUGGGACACAGUACUCUAUAGAACUGCUAUCAAUAACAAUAGCGGUAAUAAAAACAACACUAAUAACUGUAUAUAGUAAUAAUAAUAAUUGCAGGUAACAGACUUCAAGAUGGUGCCCCACAAUCUCUGCCUCCUGAUGUUCACACAUUUGUAUGACUCCCUCCUCUUCAGUGUGGGCAAGUCCUGUAAUUUGCUUCUAACCAAUAAAAUAUAGCGAAGGUGAUUGGAUGCUGCUCUUUUACGUAUUUAUUUAUUUGAGACGGAGCCUCACUCUGUCGCCCAGGCUGGAGUGCAGCGGCGCAAUCUCGGCUCACUGCAACCUCUGUGUCCUGG
RNAcentral lists this long non-coding RNA (1517 nucleotides) under Homo sapiens (human). Its description in RNAcentral is "HSALNT0227246". Lineage: Eukaryota; Metazoa; Chordata; Mammalia; Primates; Hominidae. The record is from RNAcentral.